RNAcentral lists this ribosomal RNA (301 nucleotides) under uncultured bacterium. RNAcentral describes it as "partial 16S ribosomal RNA". It matches the Rfam family "Bacterial small subunit ribosomal RNA", at positions 509 to 807 of the family's 1533-position model. The record is from RNAcentral.
CAGCCGCCGCGGGAAUACGUAGGGCGCGAGCGUUGUCCGGAAUUAUUGGGCGUAAAGAGCUCGUAGGCGGCUGGUCGCGUCUGUCGUGAAAUCCUCUGGCUUAACUGGGGGCUUGCGGUGGGUACGGGCCGGCUUGAGUGCGGUAGGGGAGACUGGAACUCCUGGUGUAGCGGUGGAAUGCGCAGAUAUCAGGAAGAACACCGGUGGCGAAGGCGGGUCUCUGGGCCGUUACUGACGCUGAGGAGCGAAAGCGUGGGGAGCGAACAGGAUUAGAUACCCCGGUAGUCCCUGUCUCUUAUAC